Molecule: ribosomal RNA, 201 nt
Filed under: uncultured bacterium
Lineage: Bacteria
Description: partial 16S ribosomal RNA
Rfam family: Bacterial small subunit ribosomal RNA
Source: RNAcentral
UCUACGGGAGGCAGCAGUGAGGAAUAUUGGUCAAUGGGCGAGAGCCUGAACCAGCCAAGUAGCGUGCAGGAAGAAUGUCCUAUGGAUUGUAAACUGCUUUUAUACGGGAAUAAAGUUCUCCACGUGUGGAGAUUUGCAUGUACCGUAUGAAUAAGGAUCGGCUAACUCCGUGCCAGCAGCCGCGGUAAUACGGAGGAUCCG